GCCCAUGUAGCUCAGCGGCAGAGCGCGUCCUUGGUAAGGACGAGGUCUCCGGUUCAAUCCCGGACAUGGGCUCCA
RNAcentral lists this transfer RNA (75 nucleotides) under Candidatus Rokuibacteriota bacterium. Its description in RNAcentral is "Candidatus Rokubacteria bacterium tRNA-Thr". It matches the Rfam family "tRNA". Rfam says of the family: Transfer RNA (tRNA) molecules are approximately 80 nucleotides in length. Their secondary structure includes four short double-helical elements and three loops (D, anti-codon, and T loops). Lineage: Bacteria; Candidatus Rokuibacteriota. The record is from RNAcentral.